AUUGAUCAACUCUUCCUUUCACAAAAGAUUUCUCUGUUGGCGCCCAGAGGUACCAGGGGCCUCAGCACACCGCCCACUGUCUCAUGUGUGAGGGUGAAACCCAGGCCCCAACAGUC
RNAcentral lists this small nucleolar RNA (116 nucleotides) under Carlito syrichta (Philippine tarsier). RNAcentral describes it as "Small nucleolar RNA ACA64 (ENSTSYG00000024061.2)". It matches the Rfam family "Small nucleolar RNA ACA64". Lineage: Eukaryota; Metazoa; Chordata; Mammalia; Primates; Tarsiidae. The record is from Rfam by way of RNAcentral.